Molecule: ribosomal RNA, 452 nt
Filed under: uncultured bacterium
Lineage: Bacteria
Description: bacterial SSU rRNA
Rfam family: Bacterial small subunit ribosomal RNA
Source: RNAcentral
GUAGGGAAUUUUGCGCAAUGGGCGAAAGCCUGACGCAGCAACGCCGCGUGGGUGAUGAAGGCCUUCGGGUCGUAAAACCCUGUCGGUGAGAGACGAAAUGCGCCGUGCUGAAUAAGUGCGGCGCCUGACGGUAUCUCGCGAGGAAGCCCCGGCCAACUCCGUGCCAGCAGCCGCGGUAAUACGGGGGGGGCGAGCGUUAUUCGGAAUUACUGGGCGUAAAGGGCGUGUAGGCGGUCCCGUUUGUCGCCGGUGAAAUCCCUUGGCUUAACCGAGGAACUGCUGGCGAAACGGCGGGACUUGAGUCCGGGAGAGGAGAGCGGAAUUCCCAGUGUAGCGGUGAAAUGCGUAGAUAUUGGGAGGAACACCGGUGGCGAAGGCGGCUCUCUGGACCGGUACUGACGCUGAGACGCGAAAGCUAGGGGAGCAAACAGGAUUAGAUACCCUUGUAGUCC